RNAcentral lists this long non-coding RNA (1345 nucleotides) under Mus musculus (house mouse). RNAcentral describes it as "long non-coding RNA chr17:52351493-52352838". The record is from RNAcentral. Lineage: Eukaryota; Metazoa; Chordata; Mammalia; Rodentia; Muridae.
AGCAAGCUUGACAAGAUAACCAAUCUCAGCGUGUGGAGUGUGAGGUCGCAAUAAGCCUGCAGGCUUGGAGCAGUGUGGAUGCUUUGUGUAGCUUCUCCUACGCACUCUAUAGCUUAUCCAUCCUCACAGAGAUCACAAGAACCCUAAAUAGCAAAUAUGGCAUCUGAACUAGAACACCACCUGUUUUGUGUAAAAGGAGAUGGGCUUCUGCCACUGGCUGCUUCUCUUUCAUCUCCACAUUUUUGGUGGAGAAGAGAGCAAGUUUUGCGUCCAUCACUGUUGUCUGGCUGACAGAAUUCAUGUAAAAUUGCUAGCUUGUCUAUCUCUCAUUAUCUAGGUUUAGACCUAGGCCCACAGCUCCUACCCUACCCACAAAACAGCAGCUUACAUAUAUCUUUAACAUAUGUUGCUUUGGACAUUUUAUAGAUAGAUGCUUACAAGUACUUGGGAUCAUAGGUAAGAAAAAUCAUUGUUCGACAAGCCUCUUUGUUCUGCAUGUCAGAAUAUUUUUUUGUUGACUUUUGUGGGUGAAAAGAAUUUCUCUCUCCCUCUCUGUAUGUCUGCCUUUGUCUGUCUUUUUCUCUCACCCUCUCUGUCUGUCUCUCUGUCUGUGUUUCUGCUUGUCUCUCUGUCUGUGUCUCUCUCUCUCUCCAACCCCCUUCCCUCUCGUAUCAGAUUACUUAGAAACACGCAGGUUUGACACAUGCUUUUACCUGAAACCCUGUCUACUCCUGCUGCUUUAUUGGACCCCUAAUUACUUGUAAAAAAAUAAUAAAUUGGGCAGGUGUUUGCUCUUCCAGUUGAUUAAUUGACAAUGAUUUCGUCACAAUUGACAGCAGAAAGCUAGGAAGCUGCAGGUUGGGGUUCACCAGCUUGUGAGGAGAAUUUACAAAAGGCUGGAAUUGCCAACAGGCUGUGUUUCUCAUUCCAGGAUAAGCGAUUUUUUUCUGUCCCAGUGUUAAGCACUGUCACAUCGGUAAUUCUUUAUUUUAUACUUGUGAAACUCUGAAGCAGAUAAAAUACGUUUAGAAAUGUGUUACUAUUUAUUAUUAUUAAUUAUUAUUAUUAUUAUUAUUAUUAUUAUUAUUAUUAUUUACUGUAAGUGAAAAAGAUCACCCAAAUUAGUCCCUGUUAACUAAAAGGCCUGUACUACACAGAAACCAUGGUGGCUAAGGUUUGCUUGACUGGGUCUUUUUACCAUGUCUGAGAUAUAUGACUUCUCCAUUCAGCUGGAUCAGCAUUGGUAGCAGCCAGCAAAAGGUGGCCCCUAAGAACUGAGUAUACCUCCCAGAAUACUAGCCUAGCAAAGUUGGGGCCAUUUGGUAGUAAUAGUUUUUAAAGUUUG